CUAUAUUCUACUACUCUUUUUAAGUCCACAGCUUUUCUUGAGAUUACAACCAGAAUAUACAAGGAAUGUUGGGGCAAUCGGGGAGAGAGAGAGAGAGUUCAUACCAUCGCCGAUUACGCUUCUCCCUUGGCCAUUGACCGUGAAGCUGGGGCUCAUACCCAAUAGUUCAGAUGAGAGAGGGGUUUGGGCCAUUUUCCUUGUGUAAUUCUUCAAUUUGUGUUCGCCAUCGACAAGUCUAUUUUUCUCUUUCUAUGUCGCUUUGUGUUGCUCUUUAACUCCUUUUUGUAUUGGGGGUUUGCCUUCUAUUUCGUGUUGCAAUUGCUUAAUUAAUUGAUUUUAAUUGUUUAUUUAAACUCAUUUUGUGACUCUCUCUCUCACACACACAAAAGUCAAUCAACAAUGACAUUGUUAGCUGGGUGGGAAUAAAAUAAUUUGUGCAUCUACAUAAAACUCUCUGCCUCAAGGAAAAUUAACUCACAAGUUUAGAAAAACAAUGGUAAGUAGAUUGCACAAACUAAAACACUUUUAAUAAUUAAAAAGAAAUAUAAAAUCAAUCAUAAUCAAGACUCUCUUCAGGUAUAAUCAAAAAUAUUUUCAAUAAUAAUCAAAAUGGAUCGUAACUAACACCAAAAUGAGUCAUUUGAUACAUAACUAAAAUCUUGAGUUAUUAUUAAGUCAUAACAAAUAUCACAAUUGAUCAUAAUUAAAACCACAAAAAUUGUAACUAGCAAAUACACUCUUUAUUGGGAGUUUGUAUUAUAGAAUUUGCCACGGCAAUAUGAUAUCCAGCUACAGUACCUAGCCAAGUGCAUUGGCUCUACCAAACCUUCUCAUCCAAAAUCAUGUGCAUCGCACUAGGGCACUUGAAGCUUCACUUCUAUAUCUGGUACUCUUUCUAUCUAUCUAUAUCUUACACAAUGUGCUUCAUCUUUAAGCUUUUACAAAAUUAGAAGAACUUUUUUUAAGAAAUUAGGGAUAGGGUUUUGUUCUUGCAAAUAGUUUGACAGAUUUUGACAUUUUUGUUUUUUUGGAGGUCUUGGUUUGAGAGAAGUCUCAGGUGCUUUGUUUUCUUCAGAUGAGUUUUUGGUGCUUGUUUCAAAUUUCUAUUCAAUUUAUGUCUUUUAUAUGUUUGACAAAAUGUCAAAACCAAACAUAAUAUACAUGUUCCUCUUAGCCCUACACUCAACAAAGAUAAUAGAGGGGUGUUACUUGUAACCCAAUUUGUGAAAGUAAUGAUACAAUAUUAUUUAUUGGGGGCUUUCCAUUUUCUGAAAAGAUGACGUGCUCUAUGAUGAUAGGUGAUUCUUACAAUCGCGGAGAAAGAAUAGACACUUGAUUUGUUGGUUGGCUUGUUGUUUUUCUUGCUUUGCUUUGUUGGUUUCUCACCAACUGGAGCUUGGAGCUUGUGCUAGUUCCAAGCUCGUCUUUAUUAAUGUAAUCUUCUUCUCAUCAAUAGAGAUUUCUUUUGAGGAUCAAAAUGGAGAAAGAAUAGACACUUCUUAAUUUUGGGGCUGAUCCGAACUUUGCGACAGAAGAGGUCUCCUAUGAGGUAGGAACAUCUGGGAAUAGAGGAAUAGUUUCUAGUCCAGCAUAUCAUUGCAAGAAAUGCCAGAUAGUUGUUGCAUUGCAAGAGAAUAUUGUGGAUCAUGUUUCAGGAGAAUCACAAACAUCCUUUGGGUGGCAUAAGAAGAAAAGUAGCAACCCUUUCAACAAGUGUGAUUAGAUUGAGUGCUCAUCCAUCUUUUGUUGAGGCUCUACGUUUGAUGACAACAACACAAAGUCCCUAUCUUUUGAUUUUUGUUACCCCGUGGCACCAGUUGAAGAAUGCGUUAGAGGGGAAGCUUUAUAUGUCCAUUGCGAAGCUCUCUUGGAUUACUUCAAUUAUUGGUCAGGCAUCCAAUGCAGUUGUGGCAGCUGGAUCACCCCCACACUUUCAGCUCUAUAAAAGCUGAGUUGACAUAAACAGUGUCUGAUAUUUUUUGAGGCAGAAUAGGUAUGCCUAUCACUUUGCUAGAAGAUAGAAGACAGUAAAGAGGGGGCUUAAACGAACCCAACAUCUACCUAGUAAUAAACCUAAAUUGCGGUACCAAUAAUAUGAAAGCACAAUUUUUGAGUUGAGGGUUGGAUGUUUGAGAACUUGUUUGUAAGGAACUCCUGUUAUGUCAAUCACGUAACGUUUGCGAAGUUGUUUUCUUCCUUGAACUGGAAUUGGACCUUUGCCUUUGGGGGAGUCAUAAGCUGCAAAGGAUCAAACUUCCGCUUUCUACUGGGCAAGCGAGACUGGUUGUGUUGAAAUGUCAUUUCUUUCAUCUUCUCAAUUGCCAUUUCCCUCAUUCGCUGCAUUAUGAAAGGAUCGAUUGCUUGCAUUUUGCAUGAUGGCUUUGACAAUCGCCAGCUAGGUAGUGAUGCUCACUACUCCAAGAAGUCUUUGGGUAUGUCUUCCCACUUCAGUUAUGAUUUGGAGUUGAUGUUGGAGUUGGAGACGGAGGUGGAUGAGGAGGACUUGUAGCAUUUGCCCUACGACGAGGACCACCAAGAGGAUCGCAAU
Molecule: non-coding RNA, 2548 nt
Organism: Camellia sinensis
Lineage: Eukaryota; Viridiplantae; Streptophyta; Magnoliopsida; Ericales; Theaceae
Source: RefSeq, a predicted model, not a curated record